GGGGGUGGAAGAGCCCUCACUCUGCCGUGGUAGAAACUGGUGCAGCGUGUGUGGAAGACCGAGUGUAAAGUCUACAGGUCUUGUCACUGCUGCUUUCAGAGUGGAAUCUGGUGACGUGAGCGUGGCCUGUGGACGAGCUUCUGCCUUCCUGCAAAUGCUGUUUAAUGUUUAAGAGAUUCAUGACAAAACAAAUGCUGGUAGCUCGUGUAAAUGUAUAGCUUUAACCCUGUUUUUUCUAAUAGAUUGACUACCAUUGGCAUUAAAUGAGAUUUUGAAACCCAUGAA
Molecule: long non-coding RNA, 285 nt
Organism: Sinocyclocheilus anshuiensis
Lineage: Eukaryota; Metazoa; Chordata; Actinopteri; Cypriniformes; Cyprinidae
Exons: 3
Source: RefSeq, a predicted model, not a curated record